CCUGCAGACCAUACCUGCUUGUUUAUGACCAAUCUCAUCAGAUCUCUAAAGCUAAGCAAGGUGGGGCCUGGAUUGUACAUGAAUGGAAGACGCCUGGGAAUACCACGUGCCACGA
Molecule: ribosomal RNA, 115 nt
Filed under: Periophthalmus magnuspinnatus
Lineage: Eukaryota; Metazoa; Chordata; Actinopteri; Gobiiformes; Gobiidae
Source: RNAcentral